RNAcentral lists this non-coding RNA (46 nucleotides) under Trichobilharzia regenti. Lineage: Eukaryota; Metazoa; Platyhelminthes; Trematoda; Strigeidida; Schistosomatidae. The record is from RNAcentral.
GUACUGAUGAAGAGUCCCAUAGCAGAACGAAACAACUGUCCAGUAC